GAACAGCAUAGCUGUUUUUCAUGCUGCACGAAGGGAAAUUACACAGGAAGUAAGUCACCUCCUGAAGAGACUAGACACAAGUUAAAUUAAAAUGAAUGAUUAAAUGCCAGAUAAUUCAAGCACCUUGGGCAGAUACUGCACAAGCACUUUUCUUGCUAAGAAAGUAACCACGUAUGUUGCUGACUGACUUUAGAACAACUGAGAAACGGUACUUGUAAAAAAAUCACUAUUGCUAAUUUACCUUCUGGCAGGGGUAGGAACCAGUUUUGGCUCCGAGUAACACUUCAUGCAGUACUGCAACACUGCAACUUGUAAAGAGUACCUGAACAUGUGAGGACAUCGUGUCUGCAUUGCUCCAUGCUUGACUGCUGAACUUGAAUGGCCCUCACAAAAGCAUCACAUAUUGAGCGAAGAACUGUGAAACCCAGCCCCAGCUGAAUGCAUAGUCUGCUGUCUCUUUUGGCUUUGCUAAGUUGAAGGAACAGCAACAUCACCACAUAUCCUGGAUCAAUAACUGAACAUUUUCUGUUUUUACAUGAAACUUAAGGAUUAUCUGAAGAUUUCUGCCAGGGAAAUACUUGUGGAUUCAUUGAAAAGAAAAACAUGAGAAACUCUUAUCAUCAACUAACAUUUAGCUAUUGAGUGUCCACAUAUGAAGCAGUUUACAGCAUCAUGAU
Long non-coding RNA from Passer domesticus (house sparrow), 677 nucleotides. RefSeq lists it as uncharacterized. Lineage: Eukaryota; Metazoa; Chordata; Aves; Passeriformes; Passeridae. The transcript is spliced from 3 exons. The record is from RefSeq and is a predicted model, not a curated record.